This 3264-nucleotide long non-coding RNA is filed under the name Nicotiana tabacum (common tobacco). RNAcentral's name for it is "long non-coding RNA (NTAB_LNC007127)". The record is from RNAcentral. Lineage: Eukaryota; Viridiplantae; Streptophyta; Magnoliopsida; Solanales; Solanaceae.
UAAUAAUAGACUCGGCAAUCUUAACUAGACUGACAGACUCGAUACUACUGUACAAGACUAAAAAUUAAAAAAAAAACAUAAAAUAGACUAAAAAAUAAAAAGUUUCCUCAAGCAGCUCAUGCAUGCAAUGGUCUUGACUAGAAUGGUCCUAGGGUAUUUGUCAUGCUCAAACUCUUGCAAAUUGAUCCAUACCUGAAUGGUAAAAAUAAGAUCAAAUAGAGUUAGUGACUUACGACACAUGUGACGCCACGACACCUUCUAUUGGACACAUACAAGACAUGAUUAAGGCUAUUUUUGUAAAAUGACCUACGUGGCCAAGGAUGAUUGUUAGUGAAAACUCAACAAAGGUGACCUCAAAGACAUGGAAAUACAUCACUAAGGCUUAUAUGGAUUCAACUCCUGAACAUCAUGGCCCAAAAUUAAUUUGCAGAAAUGACCCAUUUGUAGAAAUGGCCGAUAUGGCCAGAGGUGGCUAAUAAUGCGAACUCAAUAAGGACGGUCCUUAAAGUAGUAUGACACCGAGUUGUGUACUCAAGAUCCUAAGACAUGGGUAAUUGAACCACUUUUGCGAAAAUGAACUCAUUUUGCAAGAAUGGCCGAUGUGGCCAAAAGUGGUCGGACAUACAAAUUCAACAGGAAUGGACCUUAAUACUGAGAGGACACCUUGAUAUGGGCUUAGGAUACUAAGACAUGGGUUAACAAGACAUUUUGCAAAAAUAUCCCUAUUUUGCAAAAACAACCGAUGUGGCCAAACGUGGUUGGACAUGCAAGAUUUGGCUAAGAUCCUAUGUAGGUUGCCUACGUAUCUCGCCCCGAAAGAUGAAAAUCAGGUAUACGUAGUUUGGGAUGAUUGGAUAUGGGAGAAAACUUAGAAAAUGACACUAAUUUGGAAAAAAAAUAUAUUUUUGUCUUUUUGAAAAAUGAUGAAAAAUGUAAAAUCUUUUUGGAUUUUCUUUUUCUCUUUUUUUUUUGGAAAAUAAUGGAAAAGUGUAAAAUCUUUUUUUUUUUUAAAUUUUUUGGCUUUUCUUAAAAAAGUUGUAAAAGAAAAAUAUACUUGGACCCUACUUGCUUCAGUUUUCACCCUUCUUUCCCAAACAUCGGUCCGCCAAAUGACCUUUUACCCUCAAAGAUGCAACAUGUAUCACAUAGGGAUGAUUGAAUGUCUUUUUGGGCCACGAGUCCAUUUUUGACAAAAUUUGGAUAGGCUUCCAACAAUGGGACACGGUGCCUGGGAUCGAACCCUCCUAGGUUUAAAUGAUAUGAUGUACAUAAGCAUGACCUAAAGGCUGACUUACGGUUGGGGCUCACUAGACAAGGCAAUUCCGGGCGACACGUGGUCGAUGGCGGCUGCUCUAGCUGUCCGCCCACUCCACGCUCAAACGUACUCCAGAAGACUGGUUGCAGAAAGAAGACUCAUGCUUAUGAUGAAAGUUUAUAAAACAGUAACACAUAAAGGAAAACUGUAAAUAAAUAAGCAUCUAGCAAAUAAUAAAAAGGCAUAAACAAAAAUAAAUUCAAAUAAAGCAAAAAAAACACAUAAAAACCUCAACCUAAUAUCCUAAAAGCCAACAAGAUCAAGUACUAGCUCGAACCUGCAAUUUUCCAGCAGAGUCGCCAGAGAUGUCACACCCCUUUUUUAACAAAACUCUCACUAAACCCUCCUAAAUUAAUAAAAAGAUUUAGUAAAAGCUUGAAAAAAGGUUUUCAAUUUGAAAAGUGACAAAAUUGUGUGUUCAAAAGGAUUAACACAGAGUCGCCACCUGAUAUUUGAUUUCGGUGUGUCAGGUCACCAGUUGUCCAAAAGUAAUAAUUUUCCUUUCAAAACACUUUAAACUCUAAAACUAAGUCUACACCAGAGAUUUGGGUAAGGGGGUUCAUUUGACUCGGGGAGAAGGUUUUAGGCACUCCCCAAGUUCCGUGAAGGUCAUGGUUGCGUACUCGAUCUAGUUGGCUUUUAAAAUGUUCGAAUUGAGGCGAAAUCACACAAAAAAAGGAAAAUAAACACGAAAGAUGCUCGAGGUCGUCCCCACCUAAAAUAAAGAAAAGAAAAAUGAAAAUAAAAUAAAAUACUAAGUGUUUAUACUUUUGGCCUCCAUUUACAUUCACUUCGGGGCAUACCCCGGAUAAAAAUAUAUACAAAGUCAACGGGGCAUUCCCUGGAUAAAUUUAACUAAGGAAACGAUCUCUCGCCUCAAAACUACAAAAUCCUAAGGCUUGCCUAUCCAUGUAUUGCCGGCCUAAGCAUGCUCCGACCGAUUAAUUAGUAAAUAGAUCUACGCAAGUGAAAAAUUUAGAACAUUGACAACUUAUGUUUUACCUCAUUGCGUAACUUUAGAUCCAAUCUUAUUUUAAAGCACAUCUCCAAAGAUUAUCCUCUUAAACUCAACAACUAGUAGUCAGAUUUGUCCAAAUUCACAAAUUUACGCUAACAAACAUAUUUUUCAUAGGCUAUAGGAAUCAAAUAAUCUCAAGUGACUAAACAUGGAUCAACUUCUUGAAAUAGUACGUGCCCAUGAGAGACCAAGCAAUGAGAACAAACAUGAACACAUAUUCAAAUCAUUAAUAUGAUUCCUAAACCAAGCACAUUCAAAUCACUAAUUAUAUAACACAGAUUAAAUGCAAUCUAAACCAAAGCUCCAUAUCAUAUUUUUAUAUCACAAAAUGAAAGAAGUAAUAAGAGAAUGAAGAGAUGGACCUUUCGACAAUGGAACGGGAACCAUGACUAGCGAUGCCGAACGGAACACCUAUCGACCUCGACUCUCCAUCGAUGACUGAAGUUGACAACUGUUGCAUCUGGAAUUUCCACUUCCAACCCAAAAUCGUCACCAAUCGAAGACUGAAUAAUGACAAACCAAGCUCUAAUAAAGGCGACGUGAGUUCUUUAGCUACUUAAGAGCCGCUGCUGCUGGUUUUCGAUGAUUUGGCGGCCAUUGGUGCUAUUUUUGGUGAGUCCGGUGGUGGAGGAACAACAGCUGAUCUACUGCGAAGGUGAAGGAGAAGAACCGGGGGUGUGCUGGUGUGUGAUGAAGGAGCAAAAGGUGGUCAGUGACAGUUGAAGGUGGCGUGGAUGCUGGUCGGCUAUGGUGUUUUAGAGAUCAGAGGUUGGGCGGCCAUGGGAGUCUCUUGUCUUCAUGAAGAAGAAUCUAGGGCCAUUGGAGAAGAUGACUGGAGAAGACGCGAUCUGGGUGGCUCUGUUGAUGUCUUCAAUUAGGGUUCUAGGUUUUGUUUUGUUCUUUUUUAAUGAGGAAGAUGGCAGCCCUCUCU